UCAGUCCACCUCAAUGCCAGCUGAAGGAAAGCCCCUUCCCAGCUGAGCAUCCAAUAAAAAUGGACUAAUAUUGAAGGAAAAUGUUUUAAUAUCCUAGUGCCUGAAGAUAGACCCUCUUCCCGCUCUCUUGGAACUUAAAACAACAUU
This 147-nucleotide small nucleolar RNA is filed under the name Drosophila persimilis. RNAcentral's name for it is "snoRNA:GL27945". The record is from RNAcentral. Lineage: Eukaryota; Metazoa; Arthropoda; Insecta; Diptera; Drosophilidae.